GCCGGCAUAGCUCAGCUGGUCAGAGCAACUGUCUUGUAAACAGUGGGUCGUGGGUUCGAAUCCCUCUGCCGGCUCCA
RNAcentral lists this transfer RNA (77 nucleotides) under Candidatus Saccharimonadota bacterium. RNAcentral describes it as "tRNA-Thr". It matches the Rfam family "tRNA". Rfam says of the family: Transfer RNA (tRNA) molecules are approximately 80 nucleotides in length. Their secondary structure includes four short double-helical elements and three loops (D, anti-codon, and T loops). Lineage: Bacteria; Candidatus Saccharimonadota. The record is from RNAcentral.